RNAcentral lists this ribosomal RNA (497 nucleotides) under uncultured bacterium. Its description in RNAcentral is "bacterial SSU rRNA". It matches the Rfam family "Bacterial small subunit ribosomal RNA", at positions 28 to 486 of the family's 1533-position model. The record is from RNAcentral.
GACGAACGCUGGCGGCGUGCCUAAUACAUGCAAGUCGAACGCACUCUCGUUUAGAUUGAAGGAGCUUGCUCCUGAUUGAUAAACAUUUGAGUGAGUGGCGGACGGGUGAGUAACACGUGGGUAACCUGCCCUAAAGUGGGGGAUAACAUUUGGAAACAGAUGCUAAUACCGCAUAAAACCUAACACCGCAUGGUGUAGGGUUGAAAGAUGGUUUCGGCUAUCACUUUAGGAUGGACCCGCGGUGCAUUAGUUAGUUGGUGAGGUAAAGGCUCACCAAGACCGUGAUGCAUAGCCGACCUGAGAGGGUAAUCGGCCACACUGGGACUGAGACACGGCCCAGACUCCUACGGAGGCAGCAGUAGGGAAUCUUCCACAAUGGACGAAAGUCUGAUGGAGCAACGCCGCGUGAGUGAAGAAGGUUUUCGGAUCGUAAACUCUGUUGUUGGAGAAGAAUGUAUCUGAUAGUAACUGAUCAGGUAGUGACGGUAUCCAACCAG